ACCCCUUAAGUACUAACCGUACUUCUAGUUUCGACCUAGAGGGACCUUUAAACGGGAAGGGGUA
This 64-nucleotide transfer RNA is filed under the name Quadraceps punctatus. RNAcentral describes it as "tRNA-Arg". Lineage: Eukaryota; Metazoa; Arthropoda; Insecta; Psocodea; Philopteridae. The record is from RNAcentral.